CCGUGCUAAGCGGGGAGGUAGCGGUGCCCUGUACUCGCAAUCCGCUAUAGCGAGGCCGAACUCCCGCCCGAGGUAGUUCGAUCUCGAGGCAGCCUUAUGGGAGUGGUGUUGACACUCAGGUCCUGCGCAACGAGAACCAGUGAACCCUGUCAGAUCCGGAAGGAAGCAGCAGUAAGCUGACUCUCUCGUGUGCCGCGGGAGCGCCUGGGUCGAGCCAUGAACAUGAGUAACGCUUGGGGUCGUGCUAUCGAAGGCGGGUGCACGG
RNAcentral lists this signal recognition particle RNA (265 nucleotides) under Halobacillus shinanisalinarum. RNAcentral's name for it is "Halobacillus sp. SSTM10-2 signal recognition particle sRNA large type". It matches the Rfam family "Bacterial large signal recognition particle RNA". From Rfam's summary of the family: The signal recognition particle (SRP) is a universally conserved ribonucleoprotein involved in the co-translational targeting of proteins to membranes. Archaeal SRP consists of a 7S RNA and homologues of the eukaryotic SRP19 and SRP54 proteins. The record is from RNAcentral. Lineage: Bacteria; Bacillati; Bacillota; Bacilli; Caryophanales; Bacillaceae.